Molecule: long non-coding RNA, 1721 nt
Filed under: Gouania willdenowi (blunt-snouted clingfish)
Lineage: Eukaryota; Metazoa; Chordata; Actinopteri; Blenniiformes; Gobiesocidae
Description: lncRNA (ENSGWIG00000004976.1)
Source: RNAcentral
AUUUAAGAUUUUAAAGAUAUUUCCUUAAUGUGUCUCUUUCAGCGUUAACCCACUGGUGAAACUUCUUGAUCAAAAACCAAAACCUGCAGGCACUUCCUGCCUUAACCUGCAUCAGUCUCUCCUUAAAGAGGCGCUAACAGGAAAUAGCAAGACUGUCCUCAUCUAUUGCAUUGACCCACAAGGUAGGAGUCAUUCAACCAAAGCUUGUAACCAGAGUCACAACCAACACGUGAAUUAUUGGAGCAUCUUUUCCUGCAGAUGAUGAGACGCUAUGUGCAUUAGAGCUGACCCAAAGGGUGAGAGCUUUGACGACCAAAGCCUCUGUUGGACGUUGGAGUCCUGGAGUGGCCGAGCGAGAGAUCCGCGACAGGAUCAGAGACUUAAGGAGCGAAAUGAUGUCACAGGGUGGAGAUGAGAACUUUGUUUACAGACUCAGUGAACUGACUCAAUACCUGCAGAUUGUGAAAAAUCACUCAUGGGAGAAGAGGAGGGAGGAGUCUGAGAAGAUCAAAGACAAAAUGAAGAACUUGACAUCCGUAAAUGGAAACCAGCAGUUUUCUGAAGGUCCUCACAAAGACCAAAGUGAGACAGAUACAAUAAGAUAUCUACAGGAUCAGCUCAGACAGGAAAUGGAAGAGCACAUUAAAGGUAACACCCGAGAUCCAUAAAUAGACACAUAUGUGAUGCAAUACCUGUAUAUCUGGAAUGUUCUCGUACUUUCAGAAGGCAAAGGCAAUGUGGAAAAAGUCCGAGCAGGAUCAGAAAAUCCAGCAGCUGAGGGAGACUCUGAGGGUGGAGACGCUGAAGAAUGGGGCGUCCACGGGGAUGUCUCCAGCCUCUCAACAGCCACAGCUGGAUUACAACCAAGCACAGGAGCGAAGAAGGCAACUGAAGGAGGAUCAUGGGAGAUUACUGCAGGAGGAGGUGGAGAAGAUGGAGAAAGACUUGGCACGAGAGCAGCUCCCAAUGGAGGGUGUUCACAGGGAGCUGCUGCUGCUCAGCAGGGAAAGGCAGGCUCUGGUUCUGCAGAUUGAAGCCCUGCAUGAUGAGGCUCAGCUGGCUGAGAGAGACCUGCAGGAUCAGCAGCUCAGACACCAAGCAGAGCUGCACAGUCUGAGGGAGGAGAGCCUGCAGGUGUUCAGAGUUUUUCGUCAGGCGAGCCAGGAGCGGAGGAAGGUUUCAGAGAGCCGACACAGAGGUGUGCUGCUGGAAGCUGUGCAGGAUGCCAUCUACCUGUCUGCACAAAACCAGCAACUCCAAGCUGACAAUAAACAACUCCGUAAAGGUCAGUGCUUGGUCUGUUAGGCCCCAACAGACGGUGCAUGGUGACGUUAAUCAUUUUGGACUUUGUUGUUUUUAUUGCAGCACUGGGUGAGCUGAAGGAUGCUGUAACUGUGAGCGGUGAGCCUAUGGUUGAUCUGAAAUCCACCCAACAGUGAUGAAUGUUGAUAUUGUGUAUGCAUAUGCAAGUAAAUAUAUAUUCAGCUGUGUACGCAUUCAUUUAUGGAAAUAUAUCUAUAGAAAAGAGUUGACAUAAAUGCUAAUGAGACGAUUUCUAUUGUUUUAAGGAGUACGGAGUUGGUAAAUUACAUCAUUACAGAUAUUGUGGUUUGAUUUGAUAGUAGUUUGUCAAUGGAUUAUUUUCCCCAUUUUCCACAAUUGUUCUAAAUGUUAAAGUAAAAGGAAUAUCCAAUAAAAGCAUAUAAAAUGAAAAAAACUCA